This is a non-coding RNA of Podarcis lilfordi (Lilford's wall lizard), 73 nucleotides long. Lineage: Eukaryota; Metazoa; Chordata; Lepidosauria; Squamata; Lacertidae. The record is from the annotation of a GenBank genome assembly.
GAUUGAUAGCUCAGUCGGUAAGAGCAUGGUGCUGAUAACACCAAGGUUGCCGGUUCAAUCCCCGUAUGGGACA